Long non-coding RNA from Vitis riparia (riverbank grape), 432 nucleotides. RefSeq lists it as uncharacterized. The transcript is spliced from 3 exons. Lineage: Eukaryota; Viridiplantae; Streptophyta; Magnoliopsida; Vitales; Vitaceae. The record is from RefSeq and is a predicted model, not a curated record.
CAAAAGAGCUUGGAGGCAUGCUUAUUUUCGGGUUCUUGAUGACAUGAAAGACAGGGUCUAUGUGGUUAUAGCAUUAAGGUUGAAAUGGUUGCAAAACAACCUGAGAAGAUACUUUCUCGAUUUACGAUGUUUAAGGGGUCGCAGCGAAAGAGAGAAGGUAAUGGAUGGUGGUGGAACUUGAAGAAACCGGGGAAAACAUUCCAGGGAGCACCUGCAUAACCUCAUCAAGUUGACAUGUUUCCACAACUUCAGUACUGAGACGCCUAAAGAUUUUGUUCUCAAGUCUGCAGCAUUUAGAAUUGCUCUUCUAAUUAUCAACUUGGUGGUGUUGUUAUGGAUAUUAUACUUUAUUCUAUGUUAUUUGCUGUUAUGUACGUUAUACUAGCUAAGUUACUUCUUGUUAUAUAUCAUCAUAAGAUGAGCAUUCAGAUA